RNAcentral lists this long non-coding RNA (2133 nucleotides) under Gossypium barbadense (sea-island cotton). RNAcentral describes it as "long non-coding RNA (GBAR_LNC022585)". The record is from RNAcentral. Lineage: Eukaryota; Viridiplantae; Streptophyta; Magnoliopsida; Malvales; Malvaceae.
CAGAUUAGCAAACAAACACAAGUUCGCAUAUUACUAUAGACUCGCACAAAAACAUAAGUUUACAAUAUCCGACAAUUCGCAUGCAAAGAAAUCAAACUUUAGGAACACUAUAGCUCACUAAACACCUAAAUUACACAUACAUCCUAGUUUCACCAAGUGACAAGCUUCACAAACCAAAUAAACAUGCAUGUAGAAGAUUAUCCCAUUUAAGCAUAGUUUGCAUAAAAACAUGAGUUCGCAAAGCUAAAGGUAUGCUUGUAAUUAUGCUAAACAUACCUAGGGUUUUGUAUGUAAUAAAACUAACAUAAUAGGGGUACGCAAGUAAACAUAGUUUGUAAUAACCAAUGGCUCGCAUGUAAAUAAUAAAAUACUUACAGGAGUAUGUAAGUAAUUUAUACAAGGAUUGCAAUCAACAAACUAGACAUGCAUGAAUAACAUUGAUUUAUUAAUUAAGAAACAAAAGGCAAAAUCCAUAACAUGGUUUGUAGAACUAGAGUAAACUUAAUGACAUGGUAUAGUGUACUUUUAUACUUAAGAAAAUUAUUCGAUAAUCAAUUUAAUAUUGUAACUGUUUUUUAAAACAACAUAGCAUAAACCCGUCGCCCAAAUCUAUGGUUCGCCCAUAUCAGUCAGGUGCCUUGCCAAAUUAUCGACCUCGCCUAUGUCAUCCGCGAUCUACUUACCUGAGAAGUAAUAGAGGAAUGGGUGAGUUUGGGGAGAACUCAGUGAAUAAUCAGAAACCAUUAGGUUAUGCUUCAAAAUAAUAUUUGCAAAUAGUAGAAAACUUAGUUUGAAAAUAUUUUGCGUGUUGUGUUCACAGGUGAGGAUGCGAGACCCAGUUCAUAUCUAAAAAACAUAUUUUCCUGAAAAUAGUUUAAAAACAAUGCAUACAAAUUUCUUAAAAACUUUCUUUAAAAAAAUGGGGCUUGCAUUAAACUUGCGAGGCCAUAUUUCUUUCAAAAAUAUUUAACAACCUGAGAUUGGGUUCGACUUUGGUCGUGAAACCAACGCGUACAUGAUUUUCAGAAAACUUUCCUUUGAAUAGGGUCUGGCUUAAGUCGCAAGACCAGUUCACACUUACGAACAGAGUCGACCUUAGGUCGCACGAUAGGUUCCUCAAUCAAAGUUUUUGUCUCAUUGAGUAUAUAAUACCCAAUCGAACUUACAGAGGGGCACACACUUUGAGACAUAUCACAUUAGCUCAUAUACAGAGCUAGGCUCACUGAGUAGCAAACUUUGUCUCGUUGAAUAUAUAAUUACCCAAUCGAACUUACAAAGGAGCACACACUUUGAGACAUAACAUGGGUGAGUACUCACACUAUUAGUAUACCAAUCAUAAGGCUCACUAAGGAGCUCACAGAAUAGAAGCUCGCACUAAGGCAAAGCUAAACAGAGACCUCACACAAAGCAGAGCUUAAAACAUUUGCUUAUAAAAAUCUCGCAUGUUAAGUACCUUUUAAAAACGCAGUUUAGAACCGUUCUUUCAAAAAAUUCUUAUAAUCAAAGGCUCGCAUAGGAGCUUGCAUAAAAUUUUACUUUAAAAAACAUCUUUUCAAAAUGAAAACUAUAGCCAUUAGCAAACAUAAUUAGAGUACCUUUUAAAACCCAUAAGCUAACGGUUACCAUUCACUCACCGGAAAUGGAGAACUUAAAUGAUUUUGGCUUUGCCUUUAUCUUUGCUAGAAGACGGUCCGGCUGGUUCACAACAAAUAAAUAUAUUACUAGAAAAACAUUCAGAAUUCACACAUGUAUACAAACUUAGCUCUAAGGACGAUCAAUCCUAACAAGACAAGGACUUACCCGGAUUGCUACGAACAAAAUUUUAGAAUAGAGACUUGACAACAGAAUAUUCAGUAAAGAUUGCCAUCGAAUUAAUGGGCUUAUUUAUAGACCUAAGAGUUCUAAAUAUCGUUGUACACUUUACCUAAUUUAGGAAAGACAUUACUUGCACGUAAAGUAUUCUUAGAUACGCUAAAUCACUUUUUCCUAAUUUGAGUCUGACUAUAUCGUUGACCAGUGAACCCAGUGCAUACUUUGAAUGGUGAACCCCAGCUUGCCAAAAGGACUGGUGAACCCUUAGCUCGCUAACACAUUAAUGAACCUAUCGCAUAGUAAAACUAAUGAACCCCUUAC